GGCCUUCCAAUGCUUACCACAGGCUGUGUUUUUUACACUGACUUUAUAGAAAGAGGAGGUACUGUAGAAGCAUUUACUGUAUAUACACCUCAAACCAGGUCUUUUGCCUGGUCUGUAUUGUGAAUGGGGGGACAAAA
Small nucleolar RNA from Suncus etruscus (white-toothed pygmy shrew), 137 nucleotides. RefSeq annotates it as small nucleolar RNA SNORA51. Lineage: Eukaryota; Metazoa; Chordata; Mammalia; Eulipotyphla; Soricidae. The record is from RefSeq and is a predicted model, not a curated record. The transcript has a single exon.